CAUAAAAAAUUAAAAAUGGCACAUAAGCGCGAUUAUCUAUUUUUCGUUUUUUUAUAAGGCGUCACGUGCUCUACAUGUGACGUCGCCGGCGCCACUGCCCGGCGGGAGACGGGAAGACGAAACAAUACAAUGAAAUGCGUGUUAGAAGCCUCGUAUCACUAUUAUCUCCUCAGUCUCUGCGAGAUUAAUGAAAAAGAAGGAAAAUUCAGAAGCCCCAAUUGGUUUCUUCGAUAGGAGAAUCCGAGAAUGGAAGGAAAUCACGCCCAUAACUUGAGAAUAAAAAAGAAAUUCACACUUUACAAGCUAUAGGUAAGUAUUUCUCAUAAUUUAGAGAUAUCUUUAUUUUUUUGAAUUAUUUUUAGCCGGAUCCCCGCACCUGUGUUGGUUCUAGGAUCCGUAUCCCGGAAUCUUAAAAUUUACAUCUCAAAUGAUCUGCACCCGUGUCAGAGCAACUUAUGUGAGGAGUAUAUCCCAACUACGUAUAAAAUUUUGAGAAUGUAGAGUACAUCCUUGUACAAAUGCUCUUUUGUGUUUCUGACUUGAGAUAUGGGAAGCCCAUGUUACUGGAUGGAAUAGAAGCCAGCUGCACUGCUAGGUCAAUGUUAUCAAGUUGUUAAUGUACCAUCAGAAAGCAGGAUACUGGUAAGUGACAUCUUCCAUCAUAUUUGGAACAAAGCCUGUUUGUCUGGAUCCCCAAUCGGUAUGUUUCCUUGUCACCUGUGGGUUUGAAUAUCUUCAUAUUCUUGCAUAGCGCAGAAGUGAAUUGGAUACCUCUUUGAAAUUAUUCAUUGAAAUUGAUAAAGCAUAUUUUUACUGGCAGGAGACUCCUGCAAAUAAAAGCAAUUCAUGUGCACUUCAUUAGCAGCUUAAACAAAUAUUUGGCUGUUAUGAAAUCAAAUUGCCUGUAUUGCCUGUUGAUGCAACGUAAUUACCAUUGAUUACUGAAACAUGAGACUAGCAGGUCUGCUUUUGCCCCCAAAUAGGAGUCUUUACUUAGCGUAGAAAAUGACGAAUAGUGUUCCUUGUUGAAGAUAAGUGAGUUCCCAAAGUGAGGUGGAAAGUUAUUUUGUUCUUAAUAGUUCUAGAUGUAUACUAAAUUGUGCCUAGUAACUUAGCCGAUCUGUGACCUAAUUCAGAAAUAUUUAAUUUCAUUUAUGGAGGGAUUAGAAUGGGGACUAGGAAUACCAUGUAACGGAACCCAUUCCUUAUUUUAUGUCAUUUAAUCAGUAAAUUUGAACAUUUGGUCUCUCCUAUACCAAGUGAUGCAGUGCCAGUGUCAUAUAAAACCUUCUCUUCUUUGAUAGAUAAUAUUGUCAGCUUUAGAGAACUUUGUCCAGAAGUUCAAUGAUAAUUUGAGUUGCUCUAGUCAUUGUUAAUAUAAUAUUAUCACCUUCUCCAGGGUUUUCUGGUUCAUCAUCGCCUGUAUAUAGUAAUUAAAAAACUCCCCCCUCCACGCUCUUCCUUUUGAGUGCUAGUCAUUUACUUUUGUUGCUUUACACUGUUAUGCAUCCUUUCCUUGUAAAUAAUUUAGAGCUUGUGAUGUUUCUUUAUCCUUUCUCAAUAGGAAGGACUAAGGAGAAGCAGAGUCAUUAAUCUUGGACUUUAUUCAUUUCCAUCAAUUAUAGCUUUUAUCUUCUUUUUGUCUUCUUUCUUUUUGGUCAUAACAUGCUUAUAUCAUGCGAGAAAAUUUGAACGUAUAGAAUAAGAGGAUAUGAUGAAUGGAACAUCUUCACGAAAAGUUUGGUGGAAUUUUUUAAUACAGUGAUUAGUGUUGUCUUUUGAUCAAUUUACGGUCACCUCUCAGGUAUAGUAUCAGCCUUUUGGACUAAAAGUUGGUUCAUCACGAUAAAGCUUGGGAGACAAAUGUGACGUGUUUGGAAAAAAUCAAAAGAAAAAAGUGGUCUGAUUUGUCCAAAGCUGCUGAAAAGCAAAUAAUGUCCCUCUAAAAGGAAAAGCACAUAAUAUUCCCAGGCUUCGAUCUCAUACUAAAACACUUUUUUUUCUUUUUCUCCACCCCUUUUCACGGAUAAACAGUGACUUCCUAUUUUACCCCUGAUGACUCAAACCCCCAGUGAAAGCUCCCCUUCAUUUCAAGCGUGCCAUGCACUCUCCCCAAGAUAAUCAAGUGCAUAAAUGGUUAUGUCUUAAUUCUGAAUUAAUUGGAUUGGAGCUAUAUGUUUCUAUAUUUGUUCUGCUCAAUUCAUGUUCAAUGUCAUAGUUUAACUUACUUUACAAUGAUCAUAAUAAGCCUAUUAGUAGGUUAUUAUGCUA
Nicotiana attenuata is the source of this 2271-nucleotide long non-coding RNA. RefSeq lists it as uncharacterized. Lineage: Eukaryota; Viridiplantae; Streptophyta; Magnoliopsida; Solanales; Solanaceae. The record is from RefSeq and is a predicted model, not a curated record. The transcript has 2 exons.